CAUAUCUCUCUUACGGGAAGGAUGAGAAGCUUCGACUAAGGUUCGAUUCGAGCGAAAGCGAGAAAGCGUUGCCGCAGGCAACGACCCGAAUGGCGAAGCGCGCAGCGCUGAGUCAUCCUUCCCCCACCACCA
RNAcentral lists this small RNA (132 nucleotides) under Salmonella enterica. Its description in RNAcentral is "RtT sRNA". It matches the Rfam family "RtT RNA". Rfam says of the family: This family represents a bacterial cis-regulatory element known as RtT RNA. The exact function of RtT is unknown although it is thought that it may be involved in changing the cellular response in relation to amino acid starvation. The record is from RNAcentral. Lineage: Bacteria; Pseudomonadati; Pseudomonadota; Gammaproteobacteria; Enterobacterales; Enterobacteriaceae.